UACGUAGGGGGCGAGCGUUGUCCGGAUUUAUUGGGCGUAAAGAGCUCGUAGGUGGUUUGUCGCGUUGUUCGUGAAAACUCACAGCUCAACUGUGGGCGUGCGGGCGAUACGGGCAGACUUGAGUACUGCAGGGGAGACUGGAAUUCCUGGUGUAGCGGUGGAAUGCGCAGAUAUCAGGGGGAACACCGGUGGCGAAGGUGGGUCUCUGGGCAGUAACUGACGCUGAGACGCGAAAGCGUGGGUAGCAAACAGG
This 253-nucleotide ribosomal RNA is filed under the name uncultured bacterium. RNAcentral's name for it is "partial 16S ribosomal RNA". It matches the Rfam family "Bacterial small subunit ribosomal RNA", at positions 524 to 776 of the family's 1533-position model. The record is from RNAcentral.